RNAcentral lists this unclassified non-coding RNA (153 nucleotides) under uncultured Pleosporales. RNAcentral's name for it is "sequence contains ITS2". Lineage: Eukaryota; Fungi; Ascomycota; Dothideomycetes; Pleosporales. The record is from RNAcentral.
GUACCCUCCAGCCUUGCUGGGUGUUGGGUGUUUGUUCCGCUGCACGCGUGAACUCGCCUUAAAUACAUUGGCAGCCAGCCGUCCCGUGUGGGAGCGCAGCACAUUUUGCGCUCUCCGCUGUGUACGGCGGCGUCCACAAGCCUAUACCUUUAC